RNAcentral lists this unclassified non-coding RNA (240 nucleotides) under soil metagenome. RNAcentral's name for it is "partial contains 5.8S ribosomal RNA, internal transcribed spacer 2, and large subunit ribosomal RNA". The record is from RNAcentral.
AACAUCGCGCACCUGCGGGAACCUGCGGAGGGAUCAUUACAGAGUUGCAAAACUCCCUAAACCAUUGUGAACGUUACCUAAACCGUUGCUUCGGCGGGCGGCCCGGGUCCUUCCCGGCGCCCCUCGGCCCUCGCGGGCGCCCGCCGGAGGUAAACCAAACUAUUGCAUUGUAUGGCCUCUCUGAGUCUUCUGUACUGAAUAAGUCAAAACUUUUAGCAACGGAUCUCAGAUCGGAAGAGC